CCCUAAAAAACUACGUCUCAGUUCAGAUUGCAGGCUGCAACUCGCCUGCAUGAAGUCGGAAUUGCUAGUAAUCGCAGAUCAGCAUGCUGCGGUGAAUACGUUCCCGGGCCUUGUACACACCGCCCGUCACACCAUGGGAGUCGGUAACACCCGAAGUCGGUAGCCUAACCGUAAGGAGGGCGCCGCCGAAGGUGGGGAUUGAUGACUGGGGGUGAAGUCGUAACAAGGUAGC
RNAcentral lists this ribosomal RNA (232 nucleotides) under uncultured bacterium. RNAcentral's name for it is "partial 16S ribosomal RNA". It matches the Rfam family "Bacterial small subunit ribosomal RNA", at positions 1271 to 1500 of the family's 1533-position model. The record is from RNAcentral.